This is a non-coding RNA of Cyanistes caeruleus (blue tit), 923 nucleotides long. The record is from RefSeq and is a predicted model, not a curated record. Lineage: Eukaryota; Metazoa; Chordata; Aves; Passeriformes; Paridae.
CCUGGCUGCGCUGCGCCUGCAGCCGCUCAGACUGCUCCCACAGAGCCUGAACAUCGUGAACAGAGCAAGCCAGGGAGUGCAUUUGUUUUUCAUUAAAGCAGCUAAAUGCGAUUUCGAUCUAUAUUCAAAUGACUGCAAUCCAGAGGGAGAGAUUAUUUGGAUGGGAGUUGGGAGUUCCUUGUAUUACAACACUCUUCAGAGUAUCGGUCUUUGUCAUACUAUACCAGCUAAAAUUCCAGUAGAAGCAAACAAUUAAGGUCUGAGCCAGCCAGAACACAACCUCAUUCAUUCACCGUGGGCCAGCAUUCACCCUUGCAUCUGUGUCCUCCCGCAGUGAAGCUGGAUCAGUCCAUGCACUGGAAGCAAAGGCAGGAGCAGUUCCCAUCAGGAGAGUGCAAAGCCUGAUGGAUCCUAUGUCUGUACACACUGCUAUGCCUACAGUUUGGAAAGCCCCAAAAACUUAGUGGCUUCUUCUUUACCUGAAAACUGUUGCUCAGCUGAGCCUGUCCUGUAACUGGGGACUGCCUCCUCCAGGGAUGUGUACACAAAACCCUGGAGGCAUUUCUGCACUUAGCAACUUCUCAACACCCACUGAAAUCACAUGGUUUUCCCCAGUGCUGCCUCAGACAGAGAAGGAAAGGGGCCAAACAUCGUCCUGCAAUAUUAAUGCCGUUUUCCAGCAAAAAUCCUAUUUGUGCUGCGCUGCAUGGGAGACUGACAGAAAUCAUCUUCCAAAUCUCUCAAACUUCCCUAUUAUUUCUUGCUGCAAGGCCUCUAGUUGGAUAGGACAAUACAAACAAGCUACUACAUAAGAUCUUCAUACACAAUGUUUCUCUUGGCAUAAACCAUUAAAAAAAAAGCAAGCUGGCAAACAGAAGUGACAUGGACGACACUGAAGCACUGAUGGAUCCUGGGACUUGCAA